AACGAACGCUGGCGGCAUGCCUAACACAUGCAAGUCGAACGAGACCUUCGGGUCUAGUGGCGCACGGGUGCGUAACGCGUGGGAACCUGCCCUUAGGUUCGGAAUAACUCCCCGAAAGGGGUGCUAAUACCGGAUAUGUCUUUGGACCAAAGAUUUAUCGCCUUUGGAUGGGCCCGCGUUGGAUUAGCUAGUUGGUAGGGUAAAAGCCUACCAAGGCGACGAUCCAUAGCUGGUCUGAGAGGAUGAUCAGCCACACUGGGACUGAGACACGGCCCAGACUCCUACGGGAGGCAGCAGUGGGGAAUAUUGGACAAUGGGCGAAAGCCUGAUCCAGCAAUGCCGCGUGAGUGAUGAAGGCCUUAGGGUUGUAAAGCUCUUUUACCCGGGAUGAUAAUGACAGUACCGGGAGAAUAAGCUCCGGCUAACUCCGUG
RNAcentral lists this ribosomal RNA (432 nucleotides) under uncultured bacterium. Its description in RNAcentral is "partial 16S ribosomal RNA". It matches the Rfam family "Bacterial small subunit ribosomal RNA", at positions 29 to 507 of the family's 1533-position model. The record is from RNAcentral.